UUUGGUACGCGGAGGGACAUUACAGAGAAGACCUUUGCGUCUCGGCUCUGCCAACCCCGCGAACCUAUACCUACAAUACUGCCGUUGCCUCGGCGGGCAGCGCCUCCGGGCGCCCCGCCGCAGGCACGGCGGACCCAAACGCUCAAAAGCUCCGCGCUCUCUGAACAAAAACUUAAACGAGUAAAAACUUUUGGCAACGGAUCUCUUGGCUCUGGCAUCGAUGAAGAACGCAGCGAAAUGCGAUACGUAGUGUGAAUUGCAGAAUUCAGUGAACCAUCGAAUCUUUGAACGCACCUUGCGGCCGCCGGUAAUCCGGCGGCCAUGCCCGUCCGAGCGUCGUUUCGACCCUCGGGACCGCUCCUGCGAGGGAGGUCCGGUCCCGGCCUUGGGCCAGCGCGCAGCCUCCACGGCAGCGCGCGGCCCGUAGACCAGCGGCGGCAGCGCUCGCGGCGUCCUCUGCGCAGUAAUUCAGCUCGCACCGGACCCCUUGCGCGGCCCGCCUCGACUCAAACUUACAACGUCGACCUCGGAUCGGGUAGGGAUACCCGCUAAACUUAAGCAUACAAAA
RNAcentral lists this ribosomal RNA (568 nucleotides) under Hypocreales sp. S61. RNAcentral describes it as "eukaryotic LSU rRNA". The stretch from base 186 to 339 matches the Rfam family "5.8S ribosomal RNA". Lineage: Eukaryota; Fungi; Ascomycota; Sordariomycetes; Hypocreales. The record is from RNAcentral.